Molecule: long non-coding RNA, 1426 nt
Filed under: Prunus persica (peach)
Lineage: Eukaryota; Viridiplantae; Streptophyta; Magnoliopsida; Rosales; Rosaceae
Description: long non-coding RNA (PPER_LNC001265)
Source: RNAcentral
UGUAAAUCAAGUCUGCAUCAUCUUCUAUACAUUGGAAUCGCAUGUGGUAAUUAUUCAUAGGUGAUGGUUAUUUUUCCCAAGUGUUCGGUAGCAAUCUCCCUCACAAAAGCUAAUAUUAGACCGGCUUCUUCCAUCAUUUCACCAAAUCCAAUCAAUUGAACAUGUUUAACGCUUGUCAAACACCAUCCCACAUUAUAUUUUGGGGAUUCCAAUUUCUUGCCCUUUCGAACAUCUUCCCUAUCUACCAAUUCGAGAUCCAAUCUCUGUAAAUUAGGAAGGUGUGCGAGCAAGUAUGGCAUGAACAACCAACCAGAAGAAUUUGCCAAAAAAAGUGACUAAAAAUUAAACUGCAUCUUCAUAAGCUACAGCUUGAUAGAGGACAAGAAAGUGUACCUUGCUGUUGGAAGCCUCUAUGAAGUUGAAAUUGAUGCCCCACAACUAGAUGUUCUUGAAAUAGAAGAAUCGGUUUUUGUGAAGUUUAAGAUUGGAAACUUCAAGCAUCUCCGAGAAGCAAGGUUUCAAAGUGGCUUCUACGAAGCAAAGAGGCAACUAGGAGAAGUGGGAGAACUUCUCGUUCUUUUGCGAGAAAUAUUUUCUACGAUUAACACAACAUCAAUAGAAACUAAAUCAUACCUUGAAAGCACCAUCUCCGACAACCAAGCAGCUAGUAGAUAUUGACGUUGUGUUAAUCGUAGAAAAUAUUUCUCGCAGAAGAAUGAUUAGUUCGCCCACUUCUCCUAGUUGCCUCUUUGCUUCGUAGAAGCCACUUUGAAGCCUUGCUUCUCGGAGAUGCUUGAAGUUUCCAAUCUUAAACUUCGCAAAAAUCGAUUCUUCAAUUUCAAGAACAUCUAUUGUGGGGCAUCGAUUUCAACUUCAUAGAGGCUUCCAGCAGCAAGGUACACUUCUUGUCCUCUAUCAAGCUGUAGCUUAUGAAGAUGCAGUUUAAUUUUUAGUCACUUUUUUUAGCAGAUUUUUCUGGUUGGUUGUUCAUGCCAUACUUGCUCGCACACCUUCCUAAUUUACAGAGAUUGGAUCUCGAAUUGGUAGAUAGGGAAGAUGUUCGAAAGGGCAAGAAAUUGGAAUCCCCCAAAAUAUAAUGUGGGAUGGUGUUUGACAAGCGUUAAACGUGUUCGAUUGAUUGGAUUUGGUGAAAUGAUGGAAGAAGAUUGAUUGGAUUUGGUGAAAUGAUGGAAGAAGCCGGUCUAAUAUUAGCUUUUGUGAGGGAGACUGCUACCGAAGAACACUUUGGAAAAAUAACCAUUACCACAUGCAAUUCCAAUGUAUAGAAGAUGAUGCAGACUUGAUUUACACGGCCUAAGAAAGUACACAAGAGAACUGAUCAUGAGGAAACACAAAUCUAUAUUGACUGUACCAGUAUUUUAGACAAAUGGCACGGUUGACAACUCUCACAUCAUUGAGGUGGUAC